ACUCAAAUGAAUUGACGGGGGCCCGCACAAGCAGCGGAGCAUGUGGUUUAAUUCGAAGCAACGCGAAGAACCUUACCUAGACUUGACAUCUCCUGAAUUACCCGUAACUGGGGAAGCCCUUCGGGGCAGGAAGACAGGUGGUGCAUGGUUGUCGUCAGCUCGUGUCGUGAGAUGUUGGGUUAAGUCCCGCAACGAGCGCAACCCUUAUCAUUAGUUGCUACCAUUUGGUUGAGCACUCUAGUGAGACUGCCCGGGUUAACCGGGAGGAAGGUGGGGAUGACGUCAAAUCAUCAUGCCCCUUAUGUCUAGGGCUACACACGUGCUACAAUGGUAGGUACAACAAGACGCGAUACCGUGAGGUGGAGCAAAACUGUAAAACCUAUCCCAGUUCGGAUUGUAGGCUGAAACUCGCCUACAUGAAGCCGGAGUUGCUAGUAAUCGCGAAUCAGCAUGUCGCGGUGAAUACGUUCCCGGGCCUUGUACACACCGCCCGU
RNAcentral lists this ribosomal RNA (494 nucleotides) under uncultured bacterium. RNAcentral's name for it is "partial 16S ribosomal RNA". It matches the Rfam family "Bacterial small subunit ribosomal RNA", at positions 899 to 1397 of the family's 1533-position model. The record is from RNAcentral.